UACGAAGGUCCCAAGCGUUAUCCGGAUUUAUUGGGCUUAAAGGGUGCGUAGGCGGGCUAUUAAGUCAGUGGUGAAAGCCCCAAGCUUAACUUGGGAACUGCCAUUGAUACUGAUGGUCUUGAGUACAUUUGAGGUGGGCGGAAUGUGUCAUGUAGCGGUGAAAUGCUUAGAUAUGACACAGAACACCGAUUGCGAAGGCAGCUCACUAAGCUGUAACUGACGCUGAGGCACGAAAGCGUGGGGAGCAAACAGG
Molecule: ribosomal RNA, 253 nt
Filed under: uncultured bacterium
Lineage: Bacteria
Description: partial 16S ribosomal RNA
Rfam family: Bacterial small subunit ribosomal RNA
Source: RNAcentral